This 69-nucleotide transfer RNA is filed under the name Dipodomys ordii (Ord's kangaroo rat). It matches the Rfam family "tRNA". Rfam says of the family: Transfer RNA (tRNA) molecules are approximately 80 nucleotides in length. Their secondary structure includes four short double-helical elements and three loops (D, anti-codon, and T loops). Lineage: Eukaryota; Metazoa; Chordata; Mammalia; Rodentia; Heteromyidae. The record is from Rfam by way of RNAcentral.
GAUGUGCUCACAUGGUCGAGCACAAGCCUAACAAGCAUGAGGCCCUGAGUUCAAAUCUCAGUGCCAUCA